CUCCAGACUCCUACGGGAGGCAGCAGUGGGGAAUAUUGCACAAUGGGGGAAACCCUGAUGCAGCGACGCCGCGUGAGCGAUGAAGUAUUUCGGUAUGUAAAGCUCUAUCAGCAGGGAAGAAAAUGACGGUACCUGACUAAGAAGCCCCGGCUAACUACGUGCCAGCAGCCGCGGUAAUACGUAGGGGGCAAGCGUUAUCCGGAUUUACUGGGUGUAAAGGGAGCGUAGACGGCGGUGCAAGCCAGAUGUGAAAGCCCGGGGCUCAACCCCGGGACUGCAUUGGAAACUGCGAGGCUGGAGUGUCGGAGAGGCAGGCGGAAUUCCUAGUGUAGCGGUGAAAUGCGUAGAUAUUAGGAGGAACACCAGUGGCGAAGGCGGCCUGCUGGACGAUGACUGACGCUGAGGCUCGAAAGCGUGGGGAGCAAACAGGAUUAGAUACCCCCGUAA
This 447-nucleotide ribosomal RNA is filed under the name uncultured bacterium. RNAcentral's name for it is "partial 16S ribosomal RNA". It matches the Rfam family "Bacterial small subunit ribosomal RNA", at positions 329 to 793 of the family's 1533-position model. The record is from RNAcentral.